This 71-nucleotide microRNA precursor is filed under the name Echinops telfairi (small Madagascar hedgehog). RNAcentral describes it as "miRNA (ENSETEG00000025126.1)". Lineage: Eukaryota; Metazoa; Chordata; Mammalia; Afrosoricida; Tenrecidae. The record is from RNAcentral.
CUUCAGGUCCCUGUUCAGGUGCCACUUGACGGAGUCCAGCUCCGGGAGGGAGGGUUGAACUGGACACCUGA